AGAGUUUGAUCCUGGCUCAGAUCGAACGCUGGCGGCAGGCCUAACACAUGCAAGUCGAACGGUAACAGGAAGCAGCUUGCUGCUUCGCUGACGAGUGGCGGACGGGUGAGUAAUGUCUGGGAAGCUGCAUGAUGGAGGGGGAUAACUACUGGAAACGGUAGCUAAUACCGCAUAAUGUCGCAAGACCAAAGAGGGGGACCUUCGGGCCUCUUGCCAUCGGAUGUGCCCAGAUGGGAUUAGCUUGUUGGUGGGGUAACGGCUCACCAAGGCGACGAUCCCUAGCUGGUCUGAGAGGAUGACCAGCCACACUGGAACUGAGACACGGUCCAGACUCCUACGGGAGGCAGCAGUGGGGAAUAUUGCACAAUGGGCGCAAGCCUGAUGCAGCCAUGCCGCGUGUAUGAGGAAGGCCUUCGGGUUGUAAAGUACUUUCAGCGGGGAGGAAGGGAGUAAAGUUAAUACCUUUGCUCAUUGACGUUACCCGCAGAAGAAGCACCGGCUAACUCCGUGCCAGCAGCCGCGGUAAUACGGAGGGUGCAAGCGUUAAUCGGAAUUACUGGGCGUAAAGCGCACGCAGGCGGUUUGUUAAGUCAGAUGUGAAAUCCCCGGGCUCAACCUGGGAACUGCAUCUGAUACUGGCAAGCUUGAGUCUCGUAGAGGGGGGUAGAAUUCCAGGUGUAGCGGUGAAAUGCGUAGAGAU
This 700-nucleotide ribosomal RNA is filed under the name uncultured bacterium. RNAcentral describes it as "bacterial SSU rRNA". It matches the Rfam family "Bacterial small subunit ribosomal RNA", at positions 8 to 697 of the family's 1533-position model. The record is from RNAcentral.